CUUGACGAUUUCAAAUGCUGCGAAAUUGUGGAGAUAUUACACAUUUAACAAGAAUGAAUACAGUUUCAUUAACACGAAAACUAAGUUUGUUCUCGAGUUUACGGGGGAGUCGUGGUCGUUUUACAGGGGCUGGUAUUUUGAAGAGGAGCAUUGUCAUGUUGAAGAUAAAUCGCUACGUUUGACAAAUGCAAUAUGUUCAACUU
Molecule: long non-coding RNA, 203 nt
Organism: Xenia sp. Carnegie-2017
Lineage: Eukaryota; Metazoa; Cnidaria; Anthozoa; Malacalcyonacea; Xeniidae
Exons: 3
Source: RefSeq, a predicted model, not a curated record